UUGUGGGAGCCAUCUUCAGCCUUCUUCUUGCCAUAGAUACUCUUUGGAGGGGAGAUUAGAGCCAUUUGAAGGGAGUUGUGAAUUCUUUCGGGUUUUCAAGGCUUCUUAGGACCUAUCUUUUUAAAUUACUUGCUGUUCAAUUUCUUUUCUUUAUUUCUGUUUUGUGCCGAUUCUUUAUUGAUCUAUUUGCUCUUCUUGUUUUGUUUUCAGCCCUUUUCAUAUUAAAGAAUCGAUAAAUCUUUCUCUUGUUGGUAGCAGGGAAUCAGCCUUAAAUCCCCAAUUUCUAGGGUUCUUGUCGUUCCUUACAUAUUCUGAUUGGGGGCCAUUCGGUUGCUGGAAUUUGGGGAAAUCAACUUGGGUGUUCAAUUGGGCCGAAUCAUUCGGCUGGUUGGGAAAUCAAUCUUGGAGAUCGUUCGUGUUCUUGCAUUCCGAAAUAACAUCUAUUCAUAAGUUCUUUGAUUCUUGGCUGUUCUUAGUUGUUUUUUGGGAUUUAAUUUCGUUCUGAAUUACUUUUAAUCUUAUUUGUCAUUUUGAUUUCAGAUCUGUUCGAUAGAGCCUCGUAGGAGUUUCCUCGUGACUUGGCAACUCGAUCUUGGUCCACGCGCAUCCCAUAUCAAUGUUGGAUCAAUGUAUUCAAGCUGAUUUUGAGGCCUUCAACCUUCAAGCACUCUCUUGGCGACAAGCUGAUUUUGAGACCUUCAAGUGCUCUCUUGGUGACAUGGUCUAGUUAAGGUCGAGAAGAGUUGAUUUGAUCAAAUUAAAGAAGAGUCAAUUGAUGGACAAUUAGGCCACCAAACUGUCCAAACAAGGGAGAACAAGCCUAAUUCGGCAAAGGCAUAUGGACUACUCAAAAAUUCACUUUGGGAGAUUUACUGGAGACCCUACACCAAAAAGUUCCCUUAUCCACAAUUUAUGGUCGGCUAUGGGAAGGAGAAACCUAAGCCAGCAAAACCUUGAGAAGAUACUCUCUUGGCCGACCACCUUGAGAAGCAACUUGGAAAGGAGCAACACGAUGAUUGGAGGAAGCCACUUUGACCAGAUUCUGCAAAAUUGCUGAAAUAAUAAGAGUUUAUCCUUCAUUAUCCUUGUUUACUUUUAAUCAUAUUUGCAAUUUGUUUUGUUAUCUUGUCAUCAAUGAUGGUGGCUUAAAUUUGUUUAGCUAGAAUGGUUGCAUUAAUUUA
This is a long non-coding RNA of Gossypium raimondii (Peruvian cotton), 1181 nucleotides long. RefSeq lists it as uncharacterized. Lineage: Eukaryota; Viridiplantae; Streptophyta; Magnoliopsida; Malvales; Malvaceae. The record is from RefSeq and is a predicted model, not a curated record. The transcript has 3 exons.